Ictalurus punctatus (channel catfish) is the source of this 1575-nucleotide long non-coding RNA. The record is from Ensembl. Lineage: Eukaryota; Metazoa; Chordata; Actinopteri; Siluriformes; Ictaluridae.
GCAUUCAGUCAUGUCUAGCAACUUAACAAAUGUUUUCAGUAUUUAGGAUAUAUAAAAAUGAAGGUAUUUUGAAGAUCACAGAUUUCUUUUGCAAACGGAUUAGGCUUAGAUGGUUUUAGACUUUAUUGCACUAGACGGGAGAGUAGUGCGUAGUGUAAGUGCAUAGUGUAAGUGUACAGUACUUCAUUUAGGACACUACUUUAAUAUUUACUCUCCGAAGCGUGUUUUCAGUACAGAAGUAAUGUAAUGAGUAAACGCACCGUGCAGACCAACUAAUCGAAAAUGAGAUUCGUUUCCAAUGAUUUUCAGAAUCGAUUAUUAUCGAUUAGUUGUUGCAGCUCUAAAUAUAAUAUAACAUUUGCAAUCACUGUGAUGGAGAAAAUAUGGAAUGCAAAGUGCAAUCUUCUUUAUUGAUCUAUUUGUUUAUAUCCCUAUUCCAUUCAUUUCUACGGUUUAGUCAUCUGGUGGGCGUGGUUGAGUGCGCAGGUGCGUCAUUCAAACCGAGCGAGACAGCUCCUUUCAGGAUGGUUCCUACUAGGUCUGCUAAUGGGACCGCCCUCCUGACUGGCUGCCUAUAAAGUCACCCGCUCUAGCGGUGCUGAGCAGCGAGAUGUCACAGAGAAGAGUGUGUCCAGUUUGUCGGCGUUUCUACACCAACGUGCAGGCUCAUCUCGCCCAGAUUCAUCAGCAGGGUCCAGAGGAACGCUGGCUUCACCUGGCGGCAGCGAGCGAGCGGGUGAUAUGCGGGUGCUCUGGACUGCCCGGUGUCUGCAUGCGGCAGGAAAGGUUUCCGCCGGCUAGACUGCCACCUGUUCCACCUUCACCAGCUCGCCGGGGACACGGUCAGGAAGCUACUGCUCAGCGCCAAAAUAAAGCUGCAACAACUGCAAGCUUUCGGUGAGACGAACAAAUCUAAAAGUUGCAAAUGUUCUGAACUGAUCGAAAAGUAGCAAAACUCUCCGCAGAAUUUGAGCGGCUGCAAGCGCUAGUAGCCCGGAAAGAGUAGUGGCUCUGUGGGUGAGUACCUAAACUAUCUCUAGGCCUAUUUUUAUUGUGUGUGGGCGGCGGACUCCAGGUGGUCGCCCGGGGUGGACGUCCCAGGAUGAAAUUUGUUUUUCUUUCACUGAUCCCCCCCCCCUUUUUUUUCUCUUUUCCAGAGCCAAUGUUAAGUGUACACGGCUUGGCUGACAAGUCUCAGAGAUGUCCCCAAAGCCGCGGCCAACGGCAAGCAGGAGAGGAGACACGUCGAGCGCUUCCUUCACUUUAUGUGGGCCAACACAGACAGUCCCCUGGCAGCUGCUGGCUCAUUACCCAAAAACACUUAAAAUUUAACAUAGAAGCCAAUACUCACAUCAACCUCUGAACCCAGUUGGAGAUAGAAAAAAAGACACCAGCCGUGAGUGAGAAGAAGCAAGGGUCCAGAUUUAUUGUUCCGUUCCACCACACGAGAUCCACACCAAUGAGAAUUCUCAGAAGUGAUCUGAUACCCUGAGCUUAAGCUCCAGUAUUUAUACUGUAAUUACACAGUAAAUAACCCAUAUGUUUCAAGAAGACUAUGAUCUCACUACCAAUAGG